AGUUCCGAUACGAUCACCGAAGUUAAGCAACGGCCAUCCUAGUCAGUACUUAGAUGGGUGACCGCUUGGGAAUACCAGGUGCUGUAAG
Non-coding RNA from Acanthosepion pharaonis, 88 nucleotides. NCBI's taxonomy places the organism in Eukaryota, Metazoa, Mollusca, Cephalopoda, Sepiida, Sepiidae. The record is from the annotation of a GenBank genome assembly.